This 1580-nucleotide long non-coding RNA is filed under the name Pelobates cultripes (western spadefoot toad). Lineage: Eukaryota; Metazoa; Chordata; Amphibia; Anura; Pelobatidae. The record is from RNAcentral.
GCCACGCCGACAUCCUCCCUAUUUGGGCACACGGAGGACCCCCAGAACGUUAUACUCCACUCUCUGGAGGAGGUAAAGGGGUACCUGGCAGGGGAGAUAGACAGAUCAGCCAGGGAGGUGAAGGCAGAAAUCCAGGCCAUAGGCAUUUGUACAGAGGCCUUAGAGAGCAGGCUGGAAGAUGUGGUAGCAGCACACAAUGAAAAUACCACAGCCACAAACGCACUACUCACCAGGGUCGCUGAACUGGAAAUGGAGCUGGAGGACAACUCUAAUAGAACACGGCGCAACAACAUGCGCAUAAGAGGCCUGCCAGAGGAGUUAGGGGAUGGAGACCUUGAGCAGCUACUGGCGCAGAUCUUCCGCACCAGCCUACCACAGAUACCAGAUCAGCUGUGGCACAUCGACAGGAUACACAGGGCACUGCGAGCUAAGGGACCGCAAAACAGCCCUCCCAGAGAUGUCAUCAUAAGGUGGCACUUUUUUCCACGAAAGAAGCAAUUCUCAAGCAAAGCAGGCUCCAGCCAUACAUGUAUAAAGGAAAGACGCUACAGAUCUACCAAGACAUCGCUCCAACUACCCUCGCAAGAAGACGAGAAUGGAAACCCAUUGCUGACCUCCUCAGAGCCAAAGGCCUGCGCUUCGCAUGGGGCUUCCCCUUUAAGAUGCUCAUCUUUAAUGGCCCAAGACCGACAGUGCUGACACCAUCCAUGGACCCCAGAGGCGUCCUCCAAGAACUGGGCAUCGAGGUACCGGGAGACCUGACCUUACCACCGAGGGGGCCCAGGGCGCUGGGACUGCUUCCCAGGGAAUGGCUGGAACGCAGAGCGAGAUAGGCAACAAAGAUGGCGACCCGUACCUGAGGGACACGCAACAUGGACAAUACAACAUGCAAGUUGAUAUAUAUGAUACAUCACAUUAAAGGGACAUUGCGGACAUAGUUAAAAUUGAAAGCUGGUAGGGGAUAGAGGGGACAUGGGGUCUGACGAAAGAUAGGGAGGGGAAGGAGGGGGAGAUUACCCGAAUGGAGAAGGGUACGAAUAUAGCCACUCCAUAUACAAUUGGAAGAAAAAAAAAAAAAAGCAGGCAAACUCGCUAACAUUAGGGGGGAUGGUAUAUUUAACGACCCUUUUGGGGUUAACAACAAGCCAUCCCACAUAUACUCCGGGAGGUGUCUGAUCAAAAGGCAACAGGCUUAGACCAGACCAAACCAUCGGCCAUAGUACUGCUGGCAGAGGGCCCCCUAUCGUUGGAGACGCUCAAAUCGGGCAUGAACCAGCUGUUUCCCGCCAGACAAGGCCACAGUAACUAGGCAAGGGCUUGGAAGUUGGAAGUGACAGGUGGGAGAGGACAUACAUCCACCCCCCCACCGGGGAAAGGUUCAAGGGGACACAACUGCGCAUCUAGCACUUCCACACAAAGGGGCACACAGUGAGGGGAAGCAAGUAAGGGAAAAGUUUAAAAAAGACAAAAAAAAAAACCCAAAGGGCCCAGGGAGAGGGAUCAGAUACCCAAGACACGGAGGAAAACAGCAGGACAGGCGAAGGGCCAUUCACACCCCCUCCCUCAGGACACACCUAUAC